RNAcentral lists this ribosomal RNA (496 nucleotides) under Anelpistina inappendicata. RNAcentral describes it as "partial 16S ribosomal RNA". It matches the Rfam family "Bacterial large subunit ribosomal RNA", at positions 1819 to 2600 of the family's 2925-position model. Lineage: Eukaryota; Metazoa; Arthropoda; Insecta; Zygentoma; Nicoletiidae. The record is from RNAcentral.
GGUCCCGCGUGCAUUUGAUGUGGGGUCUGGCCUGCCCAAUGAUUGGGGUUUAAUGGCCGCGGUAAUUUGACCGUGCAAAGGUAGCAUAGUCAUUAGUCUUUUAAUUGAGGUCUGGUAUGAAUGGUUGGACGAGGGGAAGGCUGUCUUGUUUGUAACGUUUCUGAAUUUUACUUUUGGGUGAAAAGGCCCAAAUUAUCCUGGGGGACGAUAAGACCCUAUAGAUCUUUACGUUUUGUGUGGUUGGGGUAAACUAGAUGGGGCGUUAUGUUGGGGUGACAGGGAGAUAGGGGCAACUCUCUUAUUUUAGGUUUACUAAUUGGUAUGAAUUUGAUCCACUCGUUGUGAUUAUUAGAUUAAGUUACCUUAGGGAUAACAGCGUAAUCUCUUUCGAGAGUUCUUAUCGACAGGGGGGAUUGCGACCUCGAUGUUGGAUUAAGGGAUUUUAGUGGUGUAGGUGCUACUAGGAGAGGGUCUGUUCGACCUUUAAUACUUUACA